Molecule: ribosomal RNA, 253 nt
Filed under: uncultured bacterium
Lineage: Bacteria
Description: partial 16S ribosomal RNA
Rfam family: Bacterial small subunit ribosomal RNA
Source: RNAcentral
UACGGAGACUGCGAGCGUUACUCGGAUUUACUGGGCGUAAAGGGUGCGUAGGUGGUUAUGUGUGUCAGAUGUGAAAACUUGAAGCUCAACUUCAAGCCUGCGUCUGAAACUACAUAACUAGAGAGUUGGAGAGGUAAGUAGAAUUCCUAGUGUAGCAGUGAAAUGCGUAGAUAUUAGGAGGAACACCAAAGGCGAAGGCAGCUUACUGGACAACAACUGACACUAAAGCACGAAAGCGUGGGGAGCAAAAGGG